ACUUCGGUCUGGGGCAAAGCCGCGAACGGGUGAGUAACACGUGAGUAAUCUGCCCCGAUGACCGGGACAACCCGAGGAAACUCGGGCUAAUACCGGAUGAUGAGCCUUGGCGUAAGCCUUGUCUCUAAAGGAAGCUUCGGCCUCCGCAUCGGGAGGAGCUCGCGGCCCAUUAGCUUGUUGGUGGGGUAAUGGCCUACCAAGGCAACGAUGGGUAGCUGGUCUGAGAGGACGAUCAGCCACACUGGAACUGAGACACGGUCCAGACUCCUACGGGAGGCAGCAGUGGGGAAUCUUGCGCAAUGCGCGAAAGCGUGACGCAGCAACGCCGCGUGGGGGAAGACGGCCUUCGGGUUGUAAACCCCUUUCAGGAGGGACGAAGGUUCACCGGUGAAUAGCCGUGUGGAUUGACGGUACCUCCACAAGAAGGUCCGGCUAACUACGUGCCAGCAGCCGCGGUAAUACGUAGGGACCAAGCGUUGUCCGGAAUCAUUGGGCGUAAAGCGCGCGUAGGUGGCUUCGUAAGUCCGUUGUGAAAGUCAAAGGCUCAACCUUUGAAAGCCGAUGGAUACUGCGAAGCUAGAGUACGGAAGAGGCGAGUGGAAUUCCUGGUGUAGCGGUGGAAUGCGCAGAUAUCAGGAGGAACACCAAUAGCGAAGGCAGCUCGCUGGGACGUUACUGACACUGAGGCGCGAAAGCGUGGGGAGC
Molecule: ribosomal RNA, 705 nt
Filed under: uncultured bacterium
Lineage: Bacteria
Description: bacterial SSU rRNA
Rfam family: Bacterial small subunit ribosomal RNA
Source: RNAcentral